This is a non-coding RNA of Acanthosepion pharaonis, 111 nucleotides long. NCBI's taxonomy places the organism in Eukaryota, Metazoa, Mollusca, Cephalopoda, Sepiida, Sepiidae. The record is from the annotation of a GenBank genome assembly.
CAGCCAUAUAACAUUGAAAUACCAGUCCUCAUCUGAUCACUGAAGUUAAGCAAAGUUGAACCUGGUCAGUACCUAGAUGGAUGACUGCUUGGGAAUACCAGGUGCUGUAAG